This is a long non-coding RNA of Bos taurus (domestic cattle), 992 nucleotides long. NCBI's taxonomy places the organism in Eukaryota, Metazoa, Chordata, Mammalia, Artiodactyla, Bovidae. The record is from Ensembl.
AGCCAACCCUGUUGUGGGGAAUCAGAGAAGGUAUCUCAAAUGGGAAGUCCAAUCUGGGUGCUUAGAGAUGUGUAAGAGUGAGCCAGGCGAAAGGAGGUGAACGUUCUCAGCUUCUCCUGAUUUGUUAACUUGGAAGUCAUAUUCUUUGUCUACCCCAAAGGACUACAGGGCCAAUGAGAACAGAAACUGCUUUCGUUCUGCCCCAACACACAACAGAAACAGAAGAACUGAAACCUCAGCUGAGGCUUCUGCUCUCGCAUUUCAGUAUCUCUUAUGACGUGGAAGAGCUGAGCGAUGCUUCUAAGGAGACAGAACUUUUUGCCUUGGUUUCCCCAAAAUUUCAAAGCAUCUUCAUGGAACAACAGAGAAUGCAAACGUUUCCAGACUAUAAUGCUGGGAUAGCUAAAGUGGAAAAUUUGAAUUUGGCAGGACCUCGUAGGGCCUUGAAAAAGGGAGCCAACUGGACUUCCUUUAUAAAGAUUAAGCCAAAAUGUGAUCCUUGGCAAAAGAAGCUUUUGACCAAACUAAAAGAACGGAGAAGAAUAGAUGUAUUAAUGCAACUCCAAGCAAAGUUUUUGAAGCCAUGGAUUCACUGCUGCUGCUGCUGCUAAGUUGCUUCCGUUGUGUCUGACUCUGUGCGACCCCAUAGACGGCAGCCCACCAGGCUCCCUCGUCCCUGGGAUUCUCCAGGCAAGAACGCUGGAGUGGGUUGCCAUUUCCUUCUCCAAUGGAUUCACUAUGAAGGCUUUAUUUGGAAUUGUCUAAUCUAAUUGCCCGAUUUUAUAUCCUGUUAGCUUUCAUUAGUGACAGUUGUCAAAAGAGUUGGCUUUAACACUAGUUAAAGAGGGGUGUGAUAUUAAAGAGAUAUCACACCAAUAUCUCUGUGUGAUAUUGCUUUAGUCACAUAACCUCUUUCAGUUUUCGUUUCCUCAUUUGUGAAACCAAAUAAGUGGACUAAACAUUGAACUAUCUUACUUUUACUAUGGUAAAAA